GAGUUUGAUCGUGGCUCAGAUUGAACGCUGGCGGCAUGCCUUACACAUGCAAGUCGAACGGCAGCACGGGAGCUUGCUCCUGGUGGCGAGUGGCGAACGGGUGAGUAAUGCAUCGGAACGUAUCCUGGAGUGGGGGAUAACGUAGCGAAAGUUACGCUAAUACCGCAUACUCUGUGAGCAGGAAAGCGGGGGACCUUCGGGCCUCGCGCUCUUGGAGCGGCCGAUGUCGGAUUAGCUAGUUGGUGAGGUAAAGGCUCACCAAGGCGACGAUCCGUAGCAGGUCUGAGAGGAUGAUCUGCCACACUGGAACUGAGACACGGUCCAGACUCCUACGGGAGGCAGCAGUGGGGAAUUUUGGACAAUGGGGGCAACCCUGAUCCAGCCAUGCCGCGUGAGUGAAGAAGGCCUCGGUUGUAAG
Molecule: ribosomal RNA, 418 nt
Filed under: bacterium enrichment culture clone ALO1_GLFRUDD03GZ9AU
Lineage: Bacteria
Description: bacterial SSU rRNA
Rfam family: Bacterial small subunit ribosomal RNA
Source: RNAcentral